RNAcentral lists this ribosomal RNA (500 nucleotides) under uncultured Glomus. RNAcentral's name for it is "SSU rRNA". It matches the Rfam family "Eukaryotic small subunit ribosomal RNA", at positions 591 to 1092 of the family's 1831-position model. Lineage: Eukaryota; Fungi; Glomeromycota; Glomeromycetes; Glomerales; Glomeraceae. The record is from RNAcentral.
CCAAUAGCGUAUAUUAAAGUUGUUGCAGUUAAAAAGCUCGUAGUUGAAUUUCGGGAUCAGUAGGUUGGUCGUGCCACUGGUAUGUACUGGCCUUACUGGUUCCUCCUUCUUGUAGAACUGUAAUGUCAUUAAUUUGGUGUUGCAGGGAAACAGGACUGUUACUUUGAAAAAAUUAGAGUGUUUAAAGCAGGCUAACGCUUGAAUACAUUAGCAUGGAAUAAUGAAAUAGGACGUUUAAUCCUAUUUUGUUGGUUUCUAGGAUUGACGUAAUGAUUAAUAGGGAUAGUUGGGGGCAUUAGUAUUCAAUUGUCAGAGGUGAAAUUCUUGGAUUUAUUGAAGACUAACUACUGCGAAAGCAUUUGCCAAGGAUGUUUUCAUUAAUCAAGAACGAAAGUUAGGGGAUCGAAGACGAUCAGAUACCGUCGUAGUCUUAACCAUAAACUAUGCCGACUAGGGAUCGGAUGAUGUUAAUUUUUUAAUGACUCAUUCGGCGCCUUACG